UCGUAACAAGGUUUCCGUAGGUGAACCUGCGGAAGGAUCAUUACUGUGAUUUACUACUACACUGCGUGAGCGGAACGAAAACAACAACACCUAAAAUGUGGAAUAUAGCAUAUAGUCGACAAGAGAAAUCUACGAAAAAACAAACAAAACUUUCAACAACGGAUCUCUUGGUUCUCGCAUCGAUGAAGAGCGCAGCGAAAUGCGAUACCUAGUGUGAAUUGCAGCCAUCGUGAAUCAUCGAGUUCUUGAACGCACAUUGCGCCCCUCGGCAUUCCGGGGGGCAUGCCUGUUUGAGCGUCGUUUCCAUCUUGCGCGUGCGCAGAGUUGGGGGAGCGGAGCGGACGACGUGUAAAGAGCGUCGGAGCUGCGACUCGCCUGAAAGGGAGCGAAGCUGGCCGAGCGAACUAGACUUUUUUUCAGGGACGCUUGGCGGCCGAGAGCGAGUGUUGCGAGACAACAAAAAGCUCGACCUCAAAUCAGGUAGGAAUACCCGCUGAACUUAAGCAUAUCAAUAA
Molecule: unclassified non-coding RNA, 515 nt
Filed under: Pichia kudriavzevii
Lineage: Eukaryota; Fungi; Ascomycota; Pichiomycetes; Pichiales; Pichiaceae
Description: sequence contains 18S rRNA gene, ITS1, 5.8S rRNA gene, ITS2, 28S rRNA gene
Rfam family: 5.8S ribosomal RNA (bases 148-300)
Source: RNAcentral